UGAGCGCUGAAGGUUGGUACUUGUACCGACUGGAUGAGCAGCGAACGGGUGAGUAACGCGUGGGGAAUCUGCCUUUGAGCGGGGGACAACAUUUGGAAACGAAUGCUAAUACCGCAUAAAAACUUUAAACACAAGUUUUAAGUUUGAAAGAUGCAAUUGCAUCACUCAAAGAUGAUCCCGCGUUGUAUUAGCUAGUUGGUGAGGUAAAGGCUCACCAAGGCGAUGAUACAUAGCCGACCUGAGAGGGUGAUCGGCCACAUUGGGACUGAGACACGGCCCAAACUCCUACGGGAGGCAGCAGUAGGGAAUCUUCGGCAAUGGACGAAAGUCUGACCGAGCAACGCCGCGUGAGUGAAGAAGGUUUUCGGAUCGUAAAACUCUGUUGGUAGAGAAGAACGUUGGUGAGAGUGGAAAGCUCAUCAAGUGACGGUAACUACCCAGAAAGGGACGGCUAACUACGUGCCAGCAGCCGCGGUAAUACGUAGGUCCCGAGCGUUGUCCGGAUUUAUUGGGCGUAAAGCGAGCGCAGGUGGUUUAUUAAGUCUGGUGUAAAAGGCAGUGGCUCAACCAUUGUAUGCAUUGGAAACUGGUAGACUUGAGUGCAGGAGAGGAGAGUGGAAUUCCAUGUGUAGCGGUGAAAUGCGUAGAUAUAUGGAGGAACACCGGUGGCGAAAGCGGCUCUCUGGCCUGUUACUGACACUGAGGCUCGAAGCGUGGGGAGCAA
This 724-nucleotide ribosomal RNA is filed under the name Lactococcus sp. HXF0034. Its description in RNAcentral is "bacterial SSU rRNA". It matches the Rfam family "Bacterial small subunit ribosomal RNA", at positions 63 to 771 of the family's 1533-position model. The record is from RNAcentral. Lineage: Bacteria; Bacillati; Bacillota; Bacilli; Lactobacillales; Streptococcaceae.